CAGGGCCACACCCACAGCAUAUGGAAGUUCCCAGGCUAGGGGUCGAAUCAGAGCUACAGCUGCCAGCCUCCGCCACAGCCACGGCAACACAGGAUCAGAGCAGCAUCUGCAACCUACACUACAACUCACGGCAACGCCGGAUCCUUAACCACCAAGUGAGGCAAGGGAUCAAACCCACUUCCUCAUGGAUCCUAGUUGGGUUCGUUAACCACUGAGCCACCAAGGGAACUCCCACAUAUAUCUUUCUUAAUGAAAGUUUUCUUCUGAUACAUGCCCAUAUGGAUCAUAUGGUAGUCCUUCAUUUAGUUUUCUGAGGAACCUCCACACUAUUUUCCUGCAGUCAUUCUUGAUUCUUCCCCUUUCAGUGACCCAUAUCAAAUUUAUCAGAUAUACCUUCCAAAUAUAUCCCAAACCCACCCACCUUUCUAUGCUCCACUGACACCCCCAAAGCCCGCUAGCAUCCUUUCUAACUAGGCAUCCUAUUACUACUCUUGCUCAAUUUUCUAUACAACAAUCAAAAUGAUCACCUUAAAUACACAUCAGAUGAUGUCACUUCCCUUUUCAAAACUCUGCAGUGAGUUCUAUGUGUUCCUAAUGCAAAUAAAAUAAAUCUCCACAAUCCUUAUCAGGACCUUCAAAACCCACGUUGAGCUGGCCCCUGCCUACCUCUUUAGCGUCUGCUCCUAUUGCUCCUACAAUGACCAGUUCCUGUCCCUGGCAAAAUGCCAGGCCCAGGGUCUUUGCCCUUCCUGUUGACUCUGGACCAGAUGUACUGCUCCUAGAUACUUGCAUGGAUGGACCCUUUUGGUUUUUUGUUUGUUUGGUUGGUUUUGGUUUUUGCCUUUUCUAGGGCCACUCCCACGACAUAUGGAGGUCCCCAGGCUAGGGGUCUAAUCAGAGCUGUAGCCGCCGGCCUACGCCACAGCCACAGCAACGCGGGAUCCAAGCUGAGUCUGCGACCUACACCACAGCUCACUGCAACGCCGGAUCCCCAACCCACUGAGCAAGGCCAUGGAUCGAACCUGCAACCCCAUGGUUCCUAGUUGGAUUCGUUAACCACUGCCCCACGACGGGAACUCUGGAUGAAUCUUUUUGUAUCAUUGAGGCCUCAGCUCAACUGUUGUCUCUUCCUGGUGAAGCCAUCCCAGAUCUGCCCAUCUUGUCUUAGCCCCACAGUCACUUUCCGUCAUCACCCUGUACCUUCUCCUUGUCAGAAAUUACUUUGUUUCAUGAUGUGCUUCCUUGUAUGUUACCUGUUUUUCCUCUUUCAGAAUAUGAGCUCCAUGAGAUGAGGGGACUUUACCCUCAAGUCCAUUGCUCUAUCUCGUGGCUGAACAGUGUCUGGCAAUACAGACAAACCAUAAGCAUUUGUCGAAUGACUAAGUCAGAUUUAGUGUGAGGUGAACACAUACUGUUCAUGGUUUAUGGAGACAUACUAUUUAAAUCACACAAGGGCCUUUAAGAGUUUCCUUCUGGAAAGUGUAUAAAACACCAAAAUUGCCAACAAAAACUUAGAAAUAGGGCCAGCUCUAAAGAUUGGUCAGAGCUUGCAUGCUUUACCCAGGAUGUCACAGGUGCUAAGUACACUUCAUAGAGUGAAUAAAUCAGACUUUGGAGUUCCCACCAUGGCGCAGCGGAAGCAAAUCCAACUAGGAACCAUGAGGUUUCAGGUUCGAUCCCUGGCCUUACUCAGCGGGUUAAGGAUCCGGUGUUGUCAUGAACUGUGGUGUAGGUUACAAACGCAGCUUGGAUCUGUCGUUGCUAUGGCUGUGGUGUAGGCCGGCAACUGUAGCUCCAAUUUGCCCCCUAGCCUGGAAAACUCCAUAUACUGUGGUGUGGCCCUAAAAGGUGGGAAAAAACAAAACAAAACAAAAAAAAGCUACAGACUUUCUAGUAGCCCUUUUAAGCUAAUGGUUUCAAACUCUUUACUAAAUGUAUAACUAAAGCUAAUGUCAGGUAGGAAGAUGGCUUUAAACGUCCCCUCUCUCCUGUUCCACACCCACUGUUUAAAAAAUACUGAGUGUAUAAUACGUAUGUAGGAAAUAAUUGAGUGAAUAAAUGCACAAAUGAAUGAAACAGCCACUGGUUCAGUAAUAAAAAUAAAGAAGACAGGUAAGAACAUAGGCUAAUCCAAGUUGGAUAGACAACUUGUAAAAACUCAGCAACUAAGAAGUAGUUUGAUAGCAAAAAAACAAGUGUGCUGGUAACUGACAGCUAGAAUUGGGGGUCUAAGAACUGGCUUUAAGAGAAAAAGGUCAAGAAGCUAAGACGAAUCAUGCAGGAAAACACUUACAGGAAGGAAAAGAAGAGAAAUUUAAAUUAGAUUCGUCAUUGCAACUUGAAAAAGAAGUGAGACUACAGGAAACUAUUUUAAAUACCAAGAAAAUGUUCCUAUAGCCAAAUGAAUCAAUAAUAAUAUAUAAAAAAAGCCCUAAGCUGUUGAAAUGUGAUGCUUUGGUAAAAAUGAAUCAACCAACCAAGAAACAUAAAUAAACAAAUAAAUGUGUGCCAUUUAAAAAUCACUUUUUCUUGCUCUCUAAUCGCCUGGAAGGAUGAGAGAGAGAGAGAGACAGAGACAGAGACAGAGAGGGAGAAGAGAAGGAGGAGGAGGAGAAGGAAGAGGAGACAAAGAGGAGGGAGGGGAAAGAAGAGGAGGGGAGGAGGGGAGGAGGGGAGGGCAGAAGGAAGUAUGAAUGAAUUCCCAGGUAAUAGAAGCCAUUCGGUAAUAUAUUGUUCAGAAGCAUCACUAUGGAGCUUAAAUAGAUUUCAUGAAUUCUUGCAAUUACCUAUAAGGACUUCAUAAUCAGCACUGUUUUCCCUUUAUCCCUUGAAAGCAUCUAGCUGUAUAAAAAUAAUAACAUCUUGCAGCUAGAAAAGACUUCUUAGUCUAAACCUUUCUAUCUAUAAUACACCUUCAGGGAAAAAGAGGAAUUCUGAUACUUUGCAAAUGCUUGAAAUCCCCUAGAAUAUUCAGAUGGUAUAUUUAGGAUUUUAAAUUUGGAAACGAUUCUUAGGUUUUACUUUUUCACUCUCCUAAGCUUAUUCCACCCACAGUUAUUGAUUCAAUACAUGAAUUGAUUUUACGUGGUGAGGAAAAAAAAUAGAAAACAUCUUUAAAAUCAAAGAAUAAUCUCAGUUAUCCAAUCCCUUUGAAGCCUAAUAUAUUUGGAAUCUCAAAAUGACU
RNAcentral lists this long non-coding RNA (3184 nucleotides) under Sus scrofa (pig). RNAcentral's name for it is "lncRNA (ENSSSCG00000056926.1)". Lineage: Eukaryota; Metazoa; Chordata; Mammalia; Artiodactyla; Suidae. The record is from RNAcentral.